This 497-nucleotide ribosomal RNA is filed under the name uncultured bacterium. RNAcentral describes it as "partial 16S ribosomal RNA". It matches the Rfam family "Bacterial small subunit ribosomal RNA", at positions 28 to 507 of the family's 1533-position model. The record is from RNAcentral.
GACGAACGCUGGCGGCGUGCCUAAUACAUGCAAGUAGAACGCUGAAGAGAGGAGCUUACUCUUCUUGGAUGAGUUGCGAACGGGUGAGUAACGCGUAGGUAACCUGCCUUGUAGCGGGGGAUAACUAUUGGAAACGAUAGCUAAUACCGCAUAACAAUGGAUGACACAUGUCAUUUAUUUGAAAGGGGCAAUUGCUCCACUACAAGAUGGACCUGCGUUGUAUUAGCUAGUAGGUGAGGUAAUGGCUCACCUAGGCGACGAUACAUAGCCGACCUGAGAGGGUGAUCGGCCACACUGGGAGGGAGACACGGCCCAGACUCCUACGGGAGGCAGCAGUAGGGAAUCUUCGGCAAUGGGGGCAACCCUGACCGAGCAACGCCGCGUGAGUGAAGAAGGUUUUCGGAUCGGAAAGCUCUGUUGUAAGUCAAGAACGGGUGUGAGAGUGGAAAGUUCACACUGUGACGGUAGCUGACCAGAAAGGGACGGCUAACUACGUG